AUGGCUCAGAUUGAACGCUGGCGGCAGGCCUAACACAUGCAAGUCGAGCGGUAGCACAAGAGAGCUUGCUCUCUGGGUGACGAGCGGCGGACGGGUGAGUAAUGUCUGGGAAACUGCCUGAUGGCGGGGGAUAACUAGUGGAAACGGUAGCUAAUACCGCAUAACGUCGCAAGACCAAAGUGGGGGACCUUCGGGCCUCACGCCAUCAGAUGUGCCCAGGUGGGAUUAGCUGGUAGGUGGGGUAACGGCUCACCUAGGCGACGAUCCCUAGCUGGUCUGAGAGGAUGACCAGCCACACUGGAACUGAGACACGGUCCAGACUCCUACGGGAGGCAGCAGUGGGGAAUAUUGCACAAUGGGCGCAAGCCUGAUGCAGCCAUGCCGCGUGUGUGAAGAAGGCCUUCGGGUUGUAAAGCACUUUCAGCGAGGAGGAAGGGUAAUGUGUUAAUAAGACAUUG
RNAcentral lists this ribosomal RNA (458 nucleotides) under Serratia symbiotica. RNAcentral's name for it is "bacterial SSU rRNA". It matches the Rfam family "Bacterial small subunit ribosomal RNA", at positions 19 to 477 of the family's 1533-position model. Lineage: Bacteria; Pseudomonadati; Pseudomonadota; Gammaproteobacteria; Enterobacterales; Yersiniaceae. The record is from RNAcentral.